CUGGAGGUAUCAGAAGUGCGAAUGCUGACAUAAGUAACGAUAAAGCGGGUGAAAAGCCCGCUCGCCGGAAGACCAAGGGUUCCUGUCCAACGUUAAUCGGGGCAGGGUGAGUCGACCCCUAAGGCGAGGCCGAAAGGCGUAGUCGAUGGGAAACAGGUUAAUAUUCCUGUACUUGGUGUUACUGCGAAGGGGGGACGGAGAAGGCUAUGUUGGCCGGGCGACGGUUGUCCCGGUUUAAGCGUGUAGGCUGGUUUUCCAGGCAAAUCCGGAAAAUCAAGGCUGAGGCGUGAUGACGAGGCACUACGGUGCUGAAGCAACAAAUGCCCUGCUUCCAGGAAAAGCCUCUAAGCAUCAGGUAACAUCAAAUCGUACCCCAAACCGACACAGGUGGUCAGGUAGAGAAUACCAAGGCGCUUGAGAGAACUCGGGUGAAGGAACUAGGCAAAAUGGUGCCGUAACUUCGGGAGAAGGCACGCUGAUAUGUAGGUGAAGUCCCUUGCGGAUGGAGCUGAAAUCAGUCGAAGAUACCAG
This 531-nucleotide ribosomal RNA is filed under the name Escherichia coli. RNAcentral describes it as "partial 23S ribosomal RNA". It matches the Rfam family "Bacterial large subunit ribosomal RNA", at positions 1273 to 1789 of the family's 2925-position model. Lineage: Bacteria; Pseudomonadati; Pseudomonadota; Gammaproteobacteria; Enterobacterales; Enterobacteriaceae. The record is from RNAcentral.